UGGGGAAUAUUGCACAAUGGGCGCAAGCCUGAUGCAGCCAUGCCGCGUGUAUGAAGAAGGCCUUCGGGUUGUAAAGUACUUUCAGCGGGGAGGAAGGUGUUGUGGUUAAUAACCACAGCAAUUGACGUUACCCGCAGAAGAAGCACCGGCUAACUCCGUGCCAGCAGCCGCGGUAAUACGGAGGGUGCAAGCGUUAAUCGGAAUUACUGGGCGUAAAGCGCACGCAGGCGGUCUGUCAAGUCGGAUGUGA
This 250-nucleotide ribosomal RNA is filed under the name uncultured bacterium. Its description in RNAcentral is "partial 16S ribosomal RNA". It matches the Rfam family "Bacterial small subunit ribosomal RNA", at positions 355 to 597 of the family's 1533-position model. The record is from RNAcentral.